Daktulosphaira vitifoliae (grape phylloxera) is the source of this 1867-nucleotide long non-coding RNA. RefSeq lists it as uncharacterized. The record is from RefSeq and is a predicted model, not a curated record. The transcript has 5 exons. Lineage: Eukaryota; Metazoa; Arthropoda; Insecta; Hemiptera; Phylloxeridae.
GUGGCACGAGUCGCGGGGCAUCGUGUAUAACGAAGCGACGCGGGCCGUGUCAAAAGUUAAGUGAAGUAAAAUUGAAACAUUUUAUGUGUAUUUAAAAAAAUUAAAAAUUAAAUAUUUCAUAUUUUCUAAAAAUUUUAAGUUUAUAGUAAGGAUCUCAGAAGAAAAUUCGAUUUUUUGGAUCAUUAAUAAAAAUUGAGAAGAAAUAAAUACGAAAUGAUGAUUAUACUAUCUUGCAGUAGCUUGUAAGUAUGAAAAUGAAAGAAUGAACAUACAAAAACUAUAUUUAAUAAACUUUUAUAAGAAAUUUUACUAUCUUGUAAAUGCCUGUAAUUCAGUAUGGUAAGCUGAGUUUUGCACUUAUUCAAUGUUAAUUUAGAAGAUUUUCAACUGUCUUAUUUACGAAAAAGUUAUGGUCAGCAAUUAUUAAAAUUGUAUAUAUGUCAGUAAAUAUUACAACAUCUUAUGAAACCGGUUUACAUUUGUAAUUGAAAAUCAAACUCGCUUAGAAAAUAUUUUAUUAUUACACGCUAACCACAUCUUUUUAUUGAUAUUUAAAAUUAGAUCUUGAAAAAAAAUAUUAAUUUAACUAAGUUUUAGAGGUGUACUUGCAAUGAGAAAAGAAGUAUGGUUGGUAGUUACAGGUGGUUUUUACAAUUUAUUAAUAAGAAACUUUUAUUGAAUAUGGUAUUUUAAAAAUAAAUAAGGAUAUUUUUAAUUAAAACCUUCAACAUGUUUCAUAUUUUUUAGUAGUUCAAAAAGUAAUCAGGGGUAGAGUUUGUAUGGGGACCGUGGGAGUUAUAUCUUCAUAAGUACAACAACACAACAAACUAUAUUUUUGGGAAAGGAAAAUAAGUAUUUCAUUUCAAGAUAGAGUGUACAGACGAAACUAUAAGAGGGAACUACUAAGCUUCUCAAGCACCGAAAAAAAUUAAACAUCCUCCAUCGGUGACAAUAGUGACAAUUCGAUAUUUAUAUUUAUAUGAUUUUUGCAUCGUUCUAAAUAAAUAACUUCGAGUUAUAAGUUUCGUAGUAUAAGUUAAAACAGCUUUUUUUAGAAAGCCUCGUAUAAAAUUAGUGUAGUGGCGGUGAAAUGAGAAAUAAUUAAGAGAAUAAACCCUUCUUAGACAUUCCUUUUUUGACAUUUUUGUACAAUUUUAAAAAGUUAUUAAGCAUAAUUAAUAUGAAAAAAUUAUUAAUCCUAAAAUUUUGGUAAAUUAAAUUAUUUUAAAGUACAUUAAAUAUUUCAAAUAUGCUUAAAAAGAAGAAAACCAUCUAAUAAUUUAUGAUAACAUAGUGAUAUAAGUAGCACGUCUUGUUUUAGUGUGUAGUUACCGCGGUUUAAUUUCGUUACUCUGGCUUAUCUAAGUUUUCUUAUACUCUACAACACAAACAAUAGCUUUUAGGGAAAAUGUCAAAAAAAAAAAAAGGAUAUGAAUAACCCCUAUAGAAUUGUCUACUUUAUUAAUGAAAUUGUAAACUCCGACAACAAUAACCCAUCCCAAAUUUUACAUUUGUAAAUUUCAAAAAACGGAUAAAUUACAUUUAUCAAACUCUGACAGAUAUGAAAUUUUCAAAAAAUUCUUUUUUCCAUUAACUCAAAGUGAUGUAUGUAGAAGAAUUUAAAAGUUUUGAUUAAAUAUUAACAUUCUAUUUGAAGUAAAAAUAGUUAAUUGAUAAUUUUCAAAUAUUUAAAUUAGAAGAUACAUGAAUUGUAAUAUUACUAUUAUUAUACAUAGUAUUAAGUGAAUAAUAAAGUGAAAAUAUAUAAAUUUUAUUUAUUUUUUACGUUUUAAUAUUGAUUAAAUAAAUUUUACAUUGUUUGUAUAAAUUUCAAUUGUAUUGGGUGCUUUUUCAAAUAAAUAUAGAU